CAAGGAAUACCUAACCAAGACAUUAUUAUCAAUACUAGGUGCUUGUUUUAAUAUCUGUACUGCUGCAAUUUUGAAUCUGCAAAGAGAUUACAUGGUAUCAUCUCUUUCAAGAUUGUCCUCUAAAAGUGUGAUUUAUUUUUUAGACAAAAAUUUAGAUGGUGGUAUUAAUUUCUUUUGAGAUUCAAUCCAUCAAAUUUUAGUUUAGAAAAUUUAUACAUAAAUUUAGAGAUGACUGUAGAUUGUUUUAUUCCAUCACGUCAGCAUAAAGGCACAAUCUAGUGUAUGCAUAGUGACAAUUUCAAUAGAUCUAGUAGUAUCUGAUAAUUUCUUACCUGAAGUAAGAUCUUUUAUGUCGUCUGCUCAGAGAACACUCAUCGAUCUUGAAGAUCUGACGUUCCUAGCUCCUAUUGCGAGAUAGAGAAGAGUGAAUUUCUUAGAAGUGAAGAUGGAGAUUAUCUUUGAUAGCGGUGCUUUCUCCGGGGGUUGGACGACGACAAGUAGCUCACACGCUUAAUUAUGGUGCUUCCUCCGGGGAUCAGAAAAUAACAACAACCUUGUCUUCAUCCAUGAUCUGCUUCUUCCAGCAGAUAUGUUCAAGAUAUGUUACAGUGACCUUUCCACAUCUUUGUUCAUUUGGUCCUUUUUCUUAUUUUAUUUUUGUCUUAUUGGACAAGGCCACUUUUGGGCCU
This 689-nucleotide long non-coding RNA is filed under the name Solanum tuberosum (potato). RNAcentral describes it as "long non-coding RNA (STUB_LNC001667)". The record is from RNAcentral. Lineage: Eukaryota; Viridiplantae; Streptophyta; Magnoliopsida; Solanales; Solanaceae.